GGCCUUUAAGACAGGAGAUCAGACGACAGAUCUACCGGAGAGUUUUCUGUGAGAUGAUGUCACCUAGAAAUAUCAGAAGCAACAACCAUAAAAUCUUCCCAUCAUGCCUACCUGAAAAUGAAGUUCUGCAAUAAUAGACAUGAGGAAGUAGACAGGGGAAUGCUCGGGAGGCCUCAACCCUACACAAAGAACUGUGGGCAACAGAGAAAUGCUGAAACAGGAUAAAUUGUCUUCCCCAGGGAAGAGCACACCAAUUUGUUAUCCAAAAUGCAAUGCUAUGUUUAAGAUUUGCUUCAGAAAACAAUGUGUUUACUGAAAAUAAGACAAGAGAUCAUAGAACAGAAGGCCGGUGAGGAAGCCCAGGCAUGUGUACAGAUGCUAUCUAGGAUUGCAUCUGAAGUCUGCCUUAGAGUGGGGGCACGCAAGUGUCUCCAAGUGAAAAAGUACAGUUUUGAAAUCAGAUAAUUGAAGCAUAAAUCGAAUGAGAAGCUGACUGCACCCAGUUUCACUACUGCAGUGUACAUAUGUGUAACAUGUUUUGACAAGAUAGGUCAAACCCUGCAAUGCUCAUCAUCGUAUAUGCAACACCCAAAGAACUGAGAUCUCAUGAUUCUUCAACUUCUGCACAUGGAGGUGCUUUCUAAUGUUGUAUGGCCAACUCACUCAGUCUAAAUGUUCUGGUAAAUGUAUUUUGGCUGAACUGAAAACUCUUAACUUCAUUGACAAUAUGUUGGAAUUCAUUUUCAGACACCUAAUUGUACUUGACUCAGAGUCUAUUAUUGUGAUAUGCAGAUUUAAUUAAAACCCAUUCUUUUCUGCAAAGUC
This 825-nucleotide long non-coding RNA is filed under the name Rattus norvegicus (Norway rat). RNAcentral describes it as "long non-coding RNA NONRATT018655". Lineage: Eukaryota; Metazoa; Chordata; Mammalia; Rodentia; Muridae. The record is from RNAcentral.